RNAcentral lists this ribosomal RNA (397 nucleotides) under uncultured bacterium. RNAcentral describes it as "bacterial SSU rRNA". It matches the Rfam family "Bacterial small subunit ribosomal RNA", at positions 359 to 772 of the family's 1533-position model. The record is from RNAcentral.
GAAUUUUGGACAAUGGGGGCAACCCUGAUCCAGCCAUUCCGCGUGAGUGAAGAAGGCCUUCGGGUUGUAAAGGGCUUUUCUGGCUGACGAGGAAGGACGGUAGGCCAGGAAUAAGCGUCGGCUAACUACGUGCCAGCAGCCGCGGUAAAACGUAGGACGCGAGCGUUAUCCGGAUUUACUGGGCGUAAAGCGCGGGCAGGCGGUGGUCCAAGUCGGACGUGAAAGCUCCCGGCUCAACUGGGAGAGGUCGUUCGAAACUGGGCCGCUAGAGGGCAGUAGAGGGGCGUGGAAUUCCGGGUGGAGUGGUGAAAUGCGUAGAGAUCCGGAGGAACACCAGAGGCGAAGGCGGCGCCCUGGGCUGCACCUGACGCUGAGCCGCGAAAGCUAGGGGAGCGAA